Molecule: ribosomal RNA, 241 nt
Filed under: uncultured bacterium
Lineage: Bacteria
Description: partial 16S ribosomal RNA
Rfam family: Bacterial small subunit ribosomal RNA
Source: RNAcentral
GACGUAGGCGCAAGCGUUGUCCGGAUUUAUUGGCGUUAAAGAGCUCGUAGGCGGCUUGUCGCGUUCGGACUGUAGAAAACCCCGCGGCUCAACUGCGGGCCUGCAGCCGAUACGGGCAGGCUAGAGUCCGGAAGAGGAGAAUGGAAUUCCCGGUGUAGCGGUGAAAUGCGCAGAUAUCGGGAAGAACACCCGUGGCGAAGGCGGUCUCUGGGACGGUACUGACGCUGAGACGCGAACGUGG